GAUGAACGCUGGCGGCGUGCCUAAUACAUGCAAGUCGAGCGAACGGACGAGAAGCUUGCUCCUCUGAUGUUAGCGGCGGACGGGUGAGUAACACGUGGAUAACCUACCUAUAAGACUGGGAUAACUUCGGGAAACCGGAGCUAAUACCGGAUAAUAUUUUGAACCGCAUGGUUCAAUAGUGAAAGACGGUUUUGCUGUCACUUAUAGAUGGAUCCGCGCUGCAUUAGCUAGUUGGUAAGGUAACGGCUUACCAAGGCAACGAUGCGUAGCCGACCUGAGAGGGUGAUCGGCCACACUGGAACUGAGACACGGUCCAGACUCCUACGGGAGGCAGCAGUAGGGAAUCUUCCGCAAUGGGCGAAAGCCUGACGGAGCAACGCCGCGUGAGUGAUGAAGGUCUUCGGAUCGUAAAACUCUGUUAUUAGGGAAGAACAUAUGUGUAAGUAACUAUGCACGUCUUGACGGUACCUAAUCAGAAAGCCACGGCUAACUACGUG
Molecule: ribosomal RNA, 497 nt
Filed under: uncultured bacterium
Lineage: Bacteria
Description: partial 16S ribosomal RNA
Rfam family: Bacterial small subunit ribosomal RNA
Source: RNAcentral